RNAcentral lists this transfer RNA (66 nucleotides) under Mus musculus (house mouse). RNAcentral describes it as "tRNA-Asn". The record is from RNAcentral. Lineage: Eukaryota; Metazoa; Chordata; Mammalia; Rodentia; Muridae.
GUUGGCUCAGUGGGUAAGAGCACUGACUGUUCUUCCAGAGGUCCUGAGUUCAAUUCUCAAGCAACA